This 253-nucleotide ribosomal RNA is filed under the name uncultured bacterium. Its description in RNAcentral is "partial 16S ribosomal RNA". It matches the Rfam family "Bacterial small subunit ribosomal RNA", at positions 524 to 776 of the family's 1533-position model. The record is from RNAcentral.
UACGUAGGGUGCAAGCGUUAUCCGGAAUUAUUGGGCGUAAAGAGCUCGUAGGCGGUUUGUCGCGUCUGCUGUGAAAACUCGGGGCUUAACCCCGGGCCUGCAGUGGGUACGGGCAGACUAGAGUGCGGUAGGGGAGACUGGAAUUCCUGGUGUAGCGGUGAAAUGCGCAGAUAUCAGGAGGAACACCGGUGGCGAAGGCGGGUCUCUGGGCCGUAACUGACGCUGAUGCACGAAAGCUAGGGGAGCAAACAGG